AACGAACGCUGGCGGCAUGCCUAACACAUGCAAGUCGAACGAGACCUUCUGGUCUAGUGGCGCACGGGUGCGUAACGCGUGGGAACCUGCCCUUAGGUUCGGACUAACUCCCCGCAAGGGGUGCUAAUACCGGAUAAUGUCUUCGGACCAAAGAUUUAUCGCCUUUGGAUGGGCCCGCGUUGGAUUAGCUAGUUGGUAGGGUAAAAGCCUACCAAGGCGACGAUCCAUAGCUGGUCUGAGAGGAUGAUCAGCCACACUGGGACUGAGACACGGCCCAGACUCCUACGGGAGGCAGCAGUGGGGAAUAUUGGACAAUGGGCGAAAGCCUGAUCCAGCAAUGCCGCGUGAGUGAUGAAGGACUUAGGGAUGUAAAGCUCUUUUAACAGGGAAGAUAAUGACAGUACCGGGAGAAUAAGCUCCGGCUAACUCCGUG
This 433-nucleotide ribosomal RNA is filed under the name uncultured bacterium. RNAcentral's name for it is "partial 16S ribosomal RNA". It matches the Rfam family "Bacterial small subunit ribosomal RNA", at positions 29 to 507 of the family's 1533-position model. The record is from RNAcentral.